GUUUGAUCCUGGCUCAGAACGAACGCUGGCGGCGUGGAUAAGACAUGCAAGUCGAACGAGACUUUUCGUUGUAGCAAUACGAUGGAAAGUUUAGUGGCGAACGGGUGCUUAACACGUGGGCAACCUGCCGAGAAGUGGGGGAUAGCUCGCCGAAAGGCGAAUUAAUACCGCAUGUGAUUAGAGAGGACAUCCUUUCGAAAUUAAAGUCGGGGCAACCUGACGCUUUUUGUGGGGCCCGCGGCCUAUCAGCCAGUUGGUGAGGUAACGGCUCACCAAGGCUUUGACGGGUAGCUGGUCUGAGAGGACGACCAGCCACACUGGGACUGAGACACGGCCCAGACACCUACGGGUGGCAGCAGUCGAGAAUUUUUGACAAUGGGGGAAACCCUGAUCGAGCGACGCCGCGUGGAGGAUGAAGGUCUUCGGAUUGUAAACUCCUGUCAUUUGGGAACAAGUCGCUUACGUUAACUGCGUGAGCGUUGAUAGUACCAGAAGAGGAAGGGACGGCUAACUCUGUGCCAGCAGCCGCGGUAAUACAGAGGUCUCAAGCGUUGUUCGGAUUCAUUGGGCGUAAAGGGUGCGUAGGCGGCGCGGUAAGUCGGGUGUGAAAUCUCGGAGCUUAACUCCGAAACUGCAUUCGAUACUGCCGUGCUUGAGGACUGGAGAGGAGACUGGAAUUUACGGUGUAUCGGUGAAAUGCGUAGAUAUCGUAAGGAAGACCAGUGGCGAAGGCGGGUCUCUGGACAGUUCCUGACGCUGAGGCACGAAGGCCAGGGGAGCAAACGGGAUUAGAU
This 794-nucleotide ribosomal RNA is filed under the name uncultured Verrucomicrobiota bacterium. Its description in RNAcentral is "bacterial SSU rRNA". It matches the Rfam family "Bacterial small subunit ribosomal RNA", at positions 11 to 783 of the family's 1533-position model. Lineage: Bacteria; Pseudomonadati; Verrucomicrobiota. The record is from RNAcentral.